This 490-nucleotide ribosomal RNA is filed under the name uncultured bacterium. Its description in RNAcentral is "partial 16S ribosomal RNA". It matches the Rfam family "Bacterial small subunit ribosomal RNA", at positions 30 to 507 of the family's 1533-position model. The record is from RNAcentral.
AUUGAACGCUGGCGGCAGGCCUAACACAUGCAAGUCGAACGGUAACAGGAAGAAGCUUGCUUCUUUGCUGACGAGUGGCGGACGGGUGAGUAAUGUCUGGGAAACUGCCUGAUGGAGGGGGGUAACUACUGGAAACGGUAGCUAAUACCGCAUAACGUCGCAAGACCAAAGAGGGGGACCUUCGGGCCUCUUGCCAUCGGAUGUGCCCAGAUGGGAUUAGCUAGUAGGUGGGGUAACGGCUCACCUAGGCGACGAUCCCUAGCUGGUCUGAGAGGAUGACCAGCCACACUGGAACUGAGACACGGUCCAGACUCCUACGGGAGGCAGCAGUGGGGAAUAUUGCACAAUGGGCGCAAGCCUGAUGCAGCCAUGCCGCGUGUAUGAAGAAGGCCUUCGGGUUGUAAAGUACUUUCAGCGGGGAGGAAGGGAGUAAAGUUAAUACCUUUACUCAUUGACGUUACCCGCAGAAGAAGCACCGGCUAACUCCGUG